Molecule: unclassified non-coding RNA, 405 nt
Filed under: rhizosphere metagenome
Description: partial ribosomal RNA internal transcribed spacer region
Source: RNAcentral
GUAGGUGAACCUGCGGAAGGAUCAUCCAACCCUGUGGUCCCGUGCGCGUCGAUAUAUGUGGGUAAAGUAGAAAUCCGGCGUUUUUGUUCAACCUGCGUGGUUGAGCAGGCGUCUAGAUAUUUGAAUAAUCGGGUAGCUGUACUUGCGAAGUUGCGGGAUGGGGCAGUCUGCGAGACUCACAGACCGAAGGCACCUAAUCAACCUACGCGGUUGGUGGUUCCUAACUGAUUAAACAAAUAUAUGGUAUUACUACGUCUUCUGCGAGAAGGCGGCCUACAUAUAGACGGCGUUUUUAACCAUACCAACUUAACUUAAUUGACUAAUACUGAAAUAAGUACGGCGCGCCCUGCUUUAUUUCGACAUACGAAACCGUAACAACUCUUAACAACGGAUAUCUUGGUUCUC